Molecule: ribosomal RNA, 215 nt
Filed under: Escherichia coli
Lineage: Bacteria; Pseudomonadati; Pseudomonadota; Gammaproteobacteria; Enterobacterales; Enterobacteriaceae
Description: partial 16S ribosomal RNA
Rfam family: Bacterial small subunit ribosomal RNA
Source: RNAcentral
UUAAAUUGAAGAGUUUGAUCAUGGCUCAGAUUGAACGCUGGCGGCAGGCCUAACACAUGCAAGUCGAACGGUAACAGGAAGCAGCUUGCUGCUUUGCUGACGAGUGGCGGACGGGUGAGUAAUGUCUGGGAAACUGCCUGAUGGAGGGGGAUAACUACUGGAAACGGUAGCUAAUACCGCAUAACGUCGCAAGACCAAAGAGGGGGACCUUCGGG